GCGUAACUUGAAGUUGUCCAAAUCACACAGAACCGCGCGAGACCUCAAAACGAUAAAUUGUUGGCAAUAUGGCGGCACAGAGUAGAAUAUUGGUUACGUUUUAAGGGAGGCAGGGAUUUUAGGCAGGAUUUGAUUCAUGAUGUGUGUGUAGAUAUUAAUGUUAGGGAACAAUGUGAGAGUGUACGUUUUAGUAGGAAAACGUAUUACGUGACCCACACUCCGGAACAGAAGAGGGCGGUAAUGCACCAAUAAGCUGGAUGCCAACCGCCGUUAAACUGGAAGGAAGACGAAUAUGACAGCUUGCUGUGAGAGACAACGUAUAUCACAGAUAUAUGACAGAGGAGACGGGCUCUUGUCUGGAUGUUACAGGGACAGAUGAGACACGUGUUUAUCUGCUGUAGAGUAACUGAUGAAGGAAUGCUGCCAUCAAAGGAUUUGUGACAUGAAAAUGUCUGUAGACUGGUGUGUGCACUGAGGAUGGAGAAGACCACAGCAUCAUCCUGGAAAUGAUCGAGAGUCACAAAUGAGACGCUUUAUCACUCCAGCUCUUACCGUCUCAUUAGGACCAGAUGCUGCUGUGGUGUCUUCAUCCUCAGUGACCCCAGAGCCACUGAGAGCAUCUAGAGAAAGACCACAAGACACUGAGGAUGUGAUUUUGGUAAUGUUUGUUCAGCUGGUUAAUGUUUAAACAAUGAAGGCCGACUUUCAGAAGCUUCAAAAGCAUCAUCAAAAAUGUGAUGGAGCUUUUAUCUGAAGUGAUUGACAGUGCUCUUAUUACAGGGGCCUUCAAUCCCCUGAUUAACCUGGAGCCUUGCUCAAGGACAUACUGGUGUUCCUGUGCCUCAAGUGGUAGAGCAUUGCGUUAGCUGUGCAAGGUUUUGGGUUCGAAUACCAGGGAACACAUGUUAGGUAAAAACUGUUAGUCUGAAUGCACUGUAAGUCACUUUGGAUAAAUGUAUAAUUUAUUUAUAAAUUCGAACCACUUCAGUGGUUUAGCCCACUACAAAAGUAAUAAAUCAAUGCCAAUGGAGUGCAGGCACAUGAAAGUUUGGAGCAGACACAGCGGUCAGAUUGUCCUGCACGUGUUCUUCUUCUCUCGCUUCAAGGUUGUGUGUUUCAGAGAGCCGUCAUCAUGGUCUUCCUCAUCCUGUUGCUCAACGACAUCCCUGUUGAGAAGAGUGAGAUUGUGAAGUGCAGCGGCAGAACUGUAUCAGCUGUGUUCAGAUCGCAGUAGGAUGUUGGGUUCACCAUCUCUAAAUACUUGAUUGUUAGAACAAUAAGUUUGAAUGAAGCUUUGUAUCAUGUGUUGUUGACUUGUGCAUGUAUGCAUUUAUUGUGAUGAUAACUUUUAUACAUUAUUUUAAUCAUUUAGACAUGUUUUUUUGUUCUCAGUAAAUAAAAUAUAAAUAUUUUAUCCA
Molecule: long non-coding RNA, 1418 nt
Organism: Carassius auratus (goldfish)
Lineage: Eukaryota; Metazoa; Chordata; Actinopteri; Cypriniformes; Cyprinidae
Exons: 3
Source: RefSeq, a predicted model, not a curated record